This 928-nucleotide ribosomal RNA is filed under the name Amanita morrisii. Its description in RNAcentral is "eukaryotic LSU rRNA". It matches the Rfam family "Eukaryotic large subunit ribosomal RNA", at positions 30 to 945 of the family's 3401-position model. Lineage: Eukaryota; Fungi; Basidiomycota; Agaricomycetes; Agaricales; Amanitaceae. The record is from RNAcentral.
GAAAUUAAGCAUAUCAAUAAGCGGAGGAAAAGAAACUAACAAGGAUUCCCUUAGUAACUGCGAGUGAAGAGGGAAAAGCUCAAAUUUAAAAUCUGGCAGUGUUUCACUGUCCGAGUUGUAACCUAGAGAAGUGUAACCUGUGCUGGACCGUGUAUAAGUCUCCUGGAAUGGAGCAUCACAGAGGGUGAGAAUCCCGUCUUUGACAUGGACUACCAGUGCAUUGUGGUUGUGCUCUCAACGAGUCGAGUUGUUUGGGAAUGCAGCUCUAAAUGGGUGGUAAAUUCCAUCUAAAGCUAAAUAUUGGCGAGAGACCGAUAGCGAACAAGUACCGUGAGGGAAAGAUGAAAAGAACUUUGGAAAGAGAGUUAAACAGUAUGUGAAAUUGUUGAAAGGGAAACGUUUGAAGUCAGUCGCGUUGGUUGGGGAUCAGCCUGACACUGUUGGGUGUACUUCCUGGUUGACGGGCCAACAUCAGUUUUGACUGCCAGAAAAAGGCCAAAGGAAUGUGGCACCUUUGGGUGUGUUAUAGCCCUUGGUCGUAUAUGGUGGUUGGGACUGAGGAAAGCAGCGUGCCGAAAGGCCGGGUUUCGACCACGUUCACGCUGAGGAUGUUGGCAUAAUGGCUUUAAGCGACCCGUCUUGAAACACGGACCAAGGAGUCUAACAUGCAUGCGAGUGUUUGGGUGGAAAACCCUUACGCGUAAUGAAAGUGAAAGUUGAGAUCCCUGUCGUGGGGAGCAUCGACGCCCGGACCAGAACUUUUGGGACGGAUCUGCGGUAGAGCACGUAUGUUGGGACCCGAAAGAUGGUGAACUAUGCCUGAAUAGGGUGAAGCCAGAGGAAACUCUGGUGGAGGCUCGUAGCGAUUCUGACGUGCAAAUCGAUCGUCAAAUUUGGGUAUAGGGGCGAAAGACUAAUCGAACCAUCU